RNAcentral lists this ribosomal RNA (433 nucleotides) under uncultured bacterium. Its description in RNAcentral is "partial 16S ribosomal RNA". It matches the Rfam family "Bacterial small subunit ribosomal RNA", at positions 29 to 507 of the family's 1533-position model. The record is from RNAcentral.
AGCGAACGCUGGCGGCAGGCUUAACACAUGCAAGUCGAGCGGGCACUUCGGUGUCAGCGGCAGACGGGUGAGUAACACGUGGGAACGUACCCUUUGGUUCGGAAUAACGCUGGGAAACUAGCGCUAAUACCGGAUACGCCCUUUUGGGGAAAGGCUUGCUGCCGAAGGAUCGGCCCGCGUCUGAUUAGCUAGUUGGUGGGGUAAUGGCCUACCAAGGCGACGAUCAGUAGCUGGUCUGAGAGGAUGAUCAGCCACACUGGGACUGAGACACGGCCCAGACUCCUACGGGAGGCAGCAGUGGGGAAUAUUGGACGAUGGGCGCAAGCCUGAUCCAGCCAUGCCGCGUGAGUGAUGAAGGCCUUAGGGUUGUAAAGCUCUUUUGUCCGGGACGAUAAUGACGGUACCGGAAGAAUAAGCCCCGGCUAACUUCGUG